This 520-nucleotide ribosomal RNA is filed under the name uncultured Glomus. Its description in RNAcentral is "SSU rRNA". It matches the Rfam family "Eukaryotic small subunit ribosomal RNA", at positions 569 to 1092 of the family's 1831-position model. The record is from RNAcentral. Lineage: Eukaryota; Fungi; Glomeromycota; Glomeromycetes; Glomerales; Glomeraceae.
AGCAGCCGCGGUAAUUCCAGCUCCAAUAGCGUAUAUUAAAGUUGUUGCAGUUAAAAAGCUCGUAGUUGAAUUUCGGGACCAAUAUGUCGGUCGUGCCUCGGUACGUACUGGCAUCGUUGGUUUCUCCCUUCUGGCGAACCAUGAUGUCAUUUAUUUGGUGUCGUGGGGAAUCAGGACUGUUACUUUGAAAAAAUUAGAGUGUUUAAAGCAGGCUCACGCUUGAAUACAUUAGCAUGGAAUAAUGAAAUAGGACGUUUGAUUCUAUUUUGUUGGUUUCUAGGAUUGACGUAAUGAUUAAUAGGGAUAGUUGGGGGCAUUAGUAUUCAAUUGUCAGAGGUGAAAUUCUUGGAUUUAUUGAAGACUAACUACUGCGAAAGCAUUUGCCAAGGAUGUUUUCAUUAAUCAAGAACGAAAGUUAGGGGAUCGAAGACGAUCAGAUACCGUCGUAGUCUUAACCAUAAACUAUGCCGACUAGGGAUCGGAUGAUGUUAAUUUUUAAUGACUCAUUCGGCGCCUUAAC